This 263-nucleotide ribosomal RNA is filed under the name Blastocystis sp. RNAcentral's name for it is "partial small subunit ribosomal RNA". It matches the Rfam family "Eukaryotic small subunit ribosomal RNA", at positions 42 to 326 of the family's 1831-position model. Lineage: Eukaryota; Bigyra; Opalinata; Blastocystidae. The record is from RNAcentral.
GAUUAAGCCAUGCAUGUGUAAGUAUAAAUAGUUAACUUUGAAACUGCGAAUGGCUCAUUAUAUCAGUUAUAGUUUAUUUGAUGAAGAAUACUAAUUGGAUAACCGUAGUAAUUCUAGAGCUAAUACAUGUAUAAAGUCUUGUAGACUGCAUUUAUUAGAAUGAAAACCAUAGGUUUCGGCCUAUUCGUGAGUAAUAAUAACUAAUCAUAUCGUAUGCUUAUGUAACGAUGUGUCUUUCAAGUUUCUGCCCUAUCAGCUUCGAU